Molecule: ribosomal RNA, 468 nt
Filed under: uncultured bacterium
Lineage: Bacteria
Description: partial 16S ribosomal RNA
Rfam family: Bacterial small subunit ribosomal RNA
Source: RNAcentral
GACGAACGCUGGCGGCGUGCUUAACACAUGCAAGUCGAACGGAAAGGCCCUGCUUUUGUGGGGUGCUCGAGUGGCGAACGGGUGAGUAACACGUGAGUAACCUGCCCUUGACUUUGGGAUAACUUCAGGAAACUGGGGCUAAUACCGGAUAGGAGCUCCUGCUGCAUGGUGGGGGUUGGAAAGUUUCGGCGGUUGGGGAUGGACUCGCGGCUUAUCAGCUUGUUGGUGGGGUAGUGGCUUACCAAGGCUUUGACGGGUAGCCGGCCUGAGAGGGUGAUCGGCCACAUUGGGACUGAGAUACGGCCCAGACUCCUACGGGAGGCAGCAGUGGGGAAUAUUGCACAAUGGGCGGAAGCCUGAUGCAGCAACGCCACGUGCGGGAUGACGGCCUUCGGGUUGUAAACCGCUUUCGCCUGUGACGAAGCGUGAGUGACGGUAAUGGGUAAAGAAGCACCGGCUAACUACGUG